CUCUGGCACAGUGGACGCAUCAUUAUACCCAUUAUACCCAUAAAACCUAGCGGUCAAACACAGAAAUGGUUCCAGUCGUUUUUUCACCAUUCAUUUUUCACAUCGUGAAUUUGACAAACACUUCAAACUAAGUAUUUGUUUGGUGUUGGCUUACCUAGGCCUGAUGUUUUUGACAAACCGUGUAAUUCUCUCUGACAAGAUGCACAAUCGAGAGCAUCCUGUAUCACUGCCUGGUACGACAACUGACCCGCCCACAAUCGUAAGGCUCUCCAGAGGGUAGUGAGGUCUGCAUAACACAUCACCAGGGGAAAACUACCUGCCCUCCAGGACACCUACACCACCCGAUGUCACAGGAAGGCCAAAAAGAUCAUCAAGGACAACAACCACCCGAGCCACUGCCUCUUCACCCUGCUAUCAUCCAGAAGGCGAGGAGUGGAACCCGGUGUGUUCAUCAGCUGCAACAGCCCAUCUGUGACAAGGACCGACGAAUUCUGCAUUCCGAGAUGUCGUUCUGCACACCACUGUUGUAAUGCGCCGUUAUUUGCCUAUUUGUGGCCCGCCUAUUAGCUAGCACGAUUCUUACCAUUCUCCUUCGACCUCUCAUCAAUGAGCUGUUUUCGCCCACAGGACUGCCACCUGACUGGAUGUUUUUUGUUUGUUGCACCUUUCUAGGUAAACCCUGGACACUGUCGUGUGUGAAAAACGGUUUCUUAGUACUGACCAGGCCAAAGUAGCACGGUGGGGUCAGAAUGUCCUCUGCUAACGAAUUUAGGAAUUAGCCUGUCUUAAUCGUCCCAUCUCUCCUCUGGCGCUGUCUCCAAUCAUUAAAUCAACGAGAUGUCAUCUUCUGAACUAUGAGUCUGUUUGUUUCUCGUCCUCCUGGUUUCGACCUUUGCCUGUCCUGACUCUGAACCCACCUGCCUGACCUGGUAUAUGAACUCUCGCCUGUCCCCCACCUGCCUGACCUGGUAUAUGAACUCUCGCCUGUCCCCCACCUGCCUGACCUGGUAUAUGAACUCUCGCCUGUCCCCCACCUGCCUGACCUGGUAUAUGAACUCUCACCAGUCCCCCACCUGCCUUUGCCUACUCCCUUUGUUAUAAUAAAUAUUGAAGCUCUACCAUCUGCCUCCUGUGUCUGCAUUUGGUUCUCGCCUUGUGCCCGUAUAGCGCAGGUUAAAUCAAAUCAAAUUUUAUUUGUCACAUACACAUGGUUAGCAGAUGUUAAUGCGAGUGUUGCGAAAUGCUUGUGCUUCUAGUUCCGACAAUGCAGUAAUAACCAACGAGUAAUCUAGCUAACAAUUCCAAAACUACUACCUUAUACAUAUAAGUGUAAAGGGAUAAAGAAUAUGUACAUAAAGAUAUAUGAAUGAGUGAUGGUAAAGAGCGGCAUAGGCAAGAUGCAGUAGAUGGUAUCGAGUACAGUAUAUACAUAUGAGAUGAGUAUGUAAACAAAGUGGCAUAGUUUAAAGUGGCUAGUGAUACAUGUAUUACAAAGAUGCAGUAGAUGAUAUAGAGUACAGUAUAUACGUUAGAACUCAAUCUUGUAAAUGAAACUUUAAUUUACAUGUAACAUUUUGAAAUCAUUAUUGUAUUACAGUAGUCAGACAAAUGUGACAAUAUCUAUAAAAUGCAACUUGUCUCCUGACUUGAGGCAAAUACUAAAAUGUAGCAAGAUAGCAGCAACAUGCUAAACUAAUCAGAGCACGCUUGCUAGCUAACCUUUGUAACUACUCAUGCUGAUUAAAAAGAUAGCGCUAGCUAAUAUAUAUAUAGUAAGUCAGCUAACAUUUGCUUUAUUGAAUAAGCUAUAUAACCUUUAAAAAACGGGGAUGGACAGGUAUGCUGCCCCGGGGGCAGCCGAGUAAAUAUAUCUAAGCUAAACAGUGCUAGUUGGCUAGCUAUCUCUUACUAAUGUUGAGUCAUAUAAUAUAACUAGCUAGGUCUCAAAUACAGUAGUUAAUCAGAUCACACUUUAUCAAAAUAUUUAAUUGAAUAAGCUAUUUAAACUGAAAAAUGUGAAUGGACGGUUAUGCUUCCCUGGGGGCAGAAACGUAAAAUGCUAAGCUAUCUCCUACU
Oncorhynchus nerka (sockeye salmon) is the source of this 2076-nucleotide long non-coding RNA. RefSeq lists it as uncharacterized. The transcript has 4 exons. The record is from RefSeq and is a predicted model, not a curated record. Lineage: Eukaryota; Metazoa; Chordata; Actinopteri; Salmoniformes; Salmonidae.